GCCUGGGCAGCUCAGUCGGUUGAGCAUCUGACUUCAGCUCAGGUCAUGAUGUUGUAGUUUGUGGGUUCGAGCCCUGCAUCGGGUU
RNAcentral lists this transfer RNA (85 nucleotides) under Felis catus (domestic cat). It matches the Rfam family "tRNA". Rfam says of the family: Transfer RNA (tRNA) molecules are approximately 80 nucleotides in length. The record is from Rfam by way of RNAcentral. Lineage: Eukaryota; Metazoa; Chordata; Mammalia; Carnivora; Felidae.